This 253-nucleotide ribosomal RNA is filed under the name uncultured bacterium. RNAcentral's name for it is "partial 16S ribosomal RNA". It matches the Rfam family "Bacterial small subunit ribosomal RNA", at positions 524 to 776 of the family's 1533-position model. The record is from RNAcentral.
UACGUAGGGUGCAAGCGUUACUCGGAAUUACUGGGCGUAAAGCGUGCGCAGGCGGUUCUAUAAGACAGAUGUGAAAUCCCCGGGCUCAACCUGGGAACUGCAUUUGUGACUGUAGAGCUGGAGUACGGUAGAGGGGGAUGGAAUUCCGCGUGUAGCAGUGAAAUGCGUAGAUAUGCGGAGGAACACCGAUGGCGAAGGCAAUCCCCUGGACCUGUACUGACGCUCAUGCACGAAAGCGUGGGGAGCAAACAGG